This 401-nucleotide long non-coding RNA is filed under the name Daucus carota (carrot). RNAcentral describes it as "long non-coding RNA (DCAR_LNC004656)". Lineage: Eukaryota; Viridiplantae; Streptophyta; Magnoliopsida; Apiales; Apiaceae. The record is from RNAcentral.
CGACGAUGACUAUACUUCCAGGAAAAGUAUGGAACAAGGAGAGAUGAAUGGAGGAUAAGGCCAACAGUGUCAUCAAGCCAUUGAUAAUUGCUGAAGGCGUGAUGGCCACAUUCAUGGGCUAUGACCCAAACUCCAGUUAAGAAACAGCCUUGAACGAAACCAUAGAUUGCCCAGGCCACAUAAGAGAAAGGAUGGGGGAGGAGGUGUAUGUAAUUGGUGGCAAUGUAGUAAAGGAUGGAGGCAAUAGUCAGGUCGUAAACAACAUAAGAGAAAGAACGGAUGACAGAUCGCUGAAAACAAUGUGGUGGAAUGGCCUUUUUGAUGUCUCCAACAGUAAAUGGAGGUUUUGCGACUGGAACUCGUUCAAGAACUUCCUCUUGUGACUUUUUAACCUUAGGAUC